GAAAAUGUGGCGCAAUGGAUAACGCGUAUGACUACCACGGAUCAGAAGAUUCCAGGUUCGAGUCCUGCCUUUUUUC
RNAcentral lists this transfer RNA (76 nucleotides) under Macrostomum lignano. It matches the Rfam family "tRNA". Rfam says of the family: Transfer RNA (tRNA) molecules are approximately 80 nucleotides in length. The record is from Rfam by way of RNAcentral. Lineage: Eukaryota; Metazoa; Platyhelminthes; Macrostomidae.